Molecule: ribosomal RNA, 373 nt
Filed under: Mitogoniella unicornis
Lineage: Eukaryota; Metazoa; Arthropoda; Arachnida; Opiliones; Gonyleptidae
Description: partial small subunit ribosomal RNA
Source: RNAcentral
GGUAGAUACCCUAGUAUGUUUAUUGAUUACGCUAGUAUCUAUGGUUGAAAAUGAAAAUUUCUGGCGGUUAAUUAUUAAUUAGAGGAGCUUGUUAAUUUUAAUAAGAAUUAACUCUUUAUAUCUUACAUCUAAAAGGUUUAUUCAUCUCUGUUAUUAAGCUAUGUGCUUGAAAAAUUAUUUAUUUUAUAUUUCAGGUCUAGAUGUAGCAUUUAUUUUUAUUAAUUAGCUACAGUUAUGAAAAAAUGGAGUUUUAGUUGAUAAUUAAGAGGAAAAUGAAUUUGAUUGUAAUUUUAACUAGAAAGUUAAAAUGAAUUUUUGUAGUUGAUGUAUAGAUUGCCCGUCAAUUCUAAUUUAAGAGUAAGUCGUAACAUAU